GACACUUUGGCCGAGUGGUUAAGGCGAUGCCCUGCUAUUCUUUACAGAUUAUCAUAGGCAUUGUGUUCGCACGCGCAGGUUCGAAUCCUGCAGGUGUCG
Molecule: transfer RNA, 99 nt
Filed under: Trichoderma longibrachiatum
Lineage: Eukaryota; Fungi; Ascomycota; Sordariomycetes; Hypocreales; Hypocreaceae
Also listed under: 1 other name
Description: tRNA-Ser
Rfam family: tRNA
About the family: Transfer RNA (tRNA) molecules are approximately 80 nucleotides in length. Their secondary structure includes four short double-helical elements and three loops (D, anti-codon, and T loops).
Source: RNAcentral